Molecule: ribosomal RNA, 903 nt
Filed under: uncultured bacterium
Lineage: Bacteria
Description: bacterial SSU rRNA
Rfam family: Bacterial small subunit ribosomal RNA
Source: RNAcentral
AUUUGAACCGCUGGCGGUAGGCUUAACACAUGCAAGUCGAGUGGAAACGAAGGAUAGCUUGCUAUUCUGGCGUCGAGCGGCGGACGGGUGAGUAAUGCUUGGGAAUCUGCCUAGUCGAGGGGGACAACAGUUGGAAACGACUGCUAAUACCGCAUACGACCUACGGGUGAAAGGGGGCCUCUUCUUGAAAGCUCUCGCGACUAGAUGAGCCCAAGUGGGAUUAGCUUGUUGGUGAGGUAAGGGCUCACCAAGGCGACGAUCCCUAGCUGGUCUGAGAGGAUGAUCAGCCACACUGGAACUGAGACACGGUCCAGACUCCUACGGGAGGCAGCAGUGGGGAAUAUUGCACAAUGGAGGAAACUCUGAUGCAGCCAUACCGCGUGGAUGAAGAAGGCCUUAGGGUUGUAAAGUACUUUCAGCGAGGAGGAAAGGUGAUAGCUUAAUACGUUAUCACUGUGACGUUACUCGCAGAAGAAGCACCGGCUAACACCGUCCAGCAACCGCGGUAAUACGGAGGGUGCAAGCGUUAAUCGGAAUUACAUGGGCGUAAAGCGCAUGCAGGCGGUUUGUUAAGCGAGAUGUGAAAGCCCCGGGCUCAACCUGGGAACUGCAUUUCGAACUGGCAAACUAGAGUUCUUGAGAGGGUGGUAGAAUUUCAGGUGUAGCGGUGAAAUGCGUAGAGAUCUGAAGGAAUACCAGUGGCGAAGGCGGCCACCUGGCAAGUAACUGACGCUCAGAUGCGAAAGCGUGGGUAGCAAACGGGAUUAGAUACCCCGGUAGUCCACGCCGUAAACGAUGUCUACUCGGAGUUUGGUUCCUUGAGAACUGGGAUCUUAAGCUAACGCAUUAAGUAGACCGCCUGGGGUGUACGGCCGCAAGGUUAAAACUCAAAUGAAUUGACGG